Molecule: ribosomal RNA, 497 nt
Filed under: uncultured bacterium
Lineage: Bacteria
Description: partial 16S ribosomal RNA
Rfam family: Bacterial small subunit ribosomal RNA
Source: RNAcentral
GAUGAACGCUGGCGGCGUGCCUAAUACAUGCAAGUCGAGCGAACAGACGAGGAGCUUGCUCCUCUGACGUGAGCGGCGGACGGGUGAGUAACACGUGGAUAACCUACCUAUAAGACUGGGAUAACUUCGGGAAACCGGAGCUAAUACCGGAUAAUAUCUUGAACCGCAUGGUUCAAUGGUGAAAGACGGUUUUGCUGUCACUUAUAGAGGGAUCCGCGCCGCAUUAGCGAGUUGGUAAGUUAACGGCCUACCAAGGCAAGGAUGCGUAGCCGACCUGAGAGGCUGAUAGCCCACCCGGGAGCUGGGCCACCGUCCAGACUCCUACGGGAGGCAGCAGUAGCCAAUCUUCCGCAGUGGGCGAAAGCCUGACGGAGCAACGCCGCGCGAGAGAUGAAGGUCUUCGGAUCGUAAAAAUCGGUUAUUAGGGAAGAACAAAUGUGUAAGUAACUAUGCACGUCUUGACGGUACCUAAUAAGAAAGCCCCGGCUAACUACGUG